AUAUCUGAGCAAAAAUGAACUGAAAUCGUUACCCCCUGGACUUCUCGAUAACAACAAACUACUAUCAAUUUUAUUAUUAGAGACAAACAAGUUAACUGAACUGCCUGAUAAGAUUUUUCGCAACACGACGAUGCUUACAACACUAGGACUUGGCUACAACCAGAUCUCCGUUCUCCACCCUGAUACGUUCAAAGACAUGUCCAGUUUGAAUCAUUU
This is a long non-coding RNA of Actinia tenebrosa (Australian red waratah sea anemone), 216 nucleotides long. The record is from RefSeq and is a predicted model, not a curated record. Lineage: Eukaryota; Metazoa; Cnidaria; Anthozoa; Actiniaria; Actiniidae.